ACUUUUGUAUAGUUACCACAUCCGGGUCUUUUGCGUCCUUAGCUACCAGUCCAAAAAUAAAAAACAUUACCACGCCUGCCUCAUCAACUGCUAUGCUAUCAGAGCGUCAAGGGCAAGGCAUCGAUGGACAUUACGAGAGGCAGUUAGAUUAAAUCUCCCGCCCGGCAUCCAGCGAGAGUUCUCGGUAGCCAUGUGUCAACUGUGUCACUGCCUGAAGUCGGGAGAGUUUGUCACCCCAGCCCAACGUCACUGGUGGUCCUGAGCGAGGAUGUCCCCAACAAUAAGCAGUUCACUCGAUUGGAGAUGUAUCUGAUGAGGAGAACGAAGAUCCAGAAGGACAUUAAGAAAAUUAAAGUACUUGACAAAAUCCUGGCUUCAAGGAUCUGAAAUGAAAAAGGGAAGGAGUUCCAUCAAACUAUGGAAGGAACUAUUGCAGCUAAAACCCAACAUAUAUUCAGAAUGUGCAGAUUAAGCAGAAAAUACAAGGAUGUUUUUGGCCCUGGCUCCUUCCAGUAUUCAUGGAUCCAGUGAAGAAGUGGACUUUGUUCCUGUGUUUGUGACUCAAGUGCCUGACAAAGAGUAUGAGACACAACACAAGUGGAGGAAAGUGAAUUUGUUUAAAUAUGCUGGAACACAAUUAUAGAUGGUAACACUUUACAUAAUUAAUUUGCUCAUAACCCACUGUUCCUCGGGCGCUGAAGACGUUGAUGUCGAUUAAGGCAGCCCCCGUACCUCUCUGAUUCAGAGGGGCUGGGUUAAAUGCGGAAGACACAUUUCAGUUGAAUGCAUUCAGUUGUACAACUGACUAGGUAUCUCCCUUUCCUAUGUAGGCCAAUAUACACUAACUACUCCUGUAACAAUGUUAGUCUUACAAUGCAGUUGUAUUAUUCUACACUAGAUGGCAAUAUAACCCUAGGAAACAAUGUAACUGCUUUGUACUUUCACUGUGUAUUCAGUUUUUUCUUGGUUCUUUGAUUUCUGAAAACACCACAUAGGCAACCUGUUUCCCAUUAAACUGUCCAUGAACAACUUCCCCAUAUUCUUUUGAAUUUGCUGUUUGGUGGAUGACAUGUCACUUAAAGUCAUAGUUAGAGAGUCAUGAACAUUGUCCAGUGGGCUCUUUUUCAAAUUGCAUGUAUUUCAGUGGUCAAGAAAAAAACAUGCAUCAGGUUUAAUUGAUAUAUGCAAAUUCUGAAUUAUUGCUUAGAUUGUUGACAAUGUCUCUCCUAAACAUCUCAGGAUGAUACUAGACAGAGCUCGCUAAUGGUUCUUAAACUCUGAGUUUAGGCUCCUGUAUGCCAUGUUUACCUGCUGGAAUCCAAACAAUGCAUGAACUCAACUCCCACACAGCAGCAGACUUGGCUGAAGUGGGUCACGAAGAGAGGGCAGAUGAGUCACAAGGCAGCCAGUCCAAUUCCCAGGGACAAAAAGAAACAAGACUUUGUGAAGAAAAACAUUGAGAGAUUGGACAUUGGUGAGCAAUAUGCUAGGAAGCGGUGGAUGGUGUGCUCGCCUUCUGAGUCUGACCGGUAGGCCGCUCCGUCUGCCUCUUCUGCGGCGACCGCGUUGUUUUGGGUCG
Non-coding RNA from Salmo salar (Atlantic salmon), 1579 nucleotides. Lineage: Eukaryota; Metazoa; Chordata; Actinopteri; Salmoniformes; Salmonidae. The record is from RefSeq and is a predicted model, not a curated record.